RNAcentral lists this long non-coding RNA (241 nucleotides) under Lathyrus oleraceus (garden pea). RNAcentral's name for it is "Pisum sativum (pea) long non-coding RNA (PSAT_LNC016850)". The record is from RNAcentral. Lineage: Eukaryota; Viridiplantae; Streptophyta; Magnoliopsida; Fabales; Fabaceae.
UUUAGUACCUUAAUUAUCAUCAUUUUGCAUGGAAAUUCCAUUGAUUCAAAACCAAAAAUUUAAAGUGUUCUUGAAUCUCCAUUAGCAAAAGUGAUUAAAUGUGAGUUAAUUUUUUGUUUAUUUUAUUUUAUUUGUAUUAUUAUUCUUGUUGUACUUAAUUAGUAUCUUAAUCAUCAUCAUUUUGCAUAGAAACUCCAUUGAUUCAAAAUCAAGAGUUUAAAGUGUUCUUGAAUGUCUAUGA